This 1041-nucleotide ribosomal RNA is filed under the name Triticum aestivum (bread wheat). RNAcentral's name for it is "partial small subunit ribosomal RNA". Lineage: Eukaryota; Viridiplantae; Streptophyta; Magnoliopsida; Poales; Poaceae. The record is from RNAcentral.
AUGGCAUCCGCUCCUGCGGCGGUUCCCCGCGUGAAGCUGGGCUCCCAGGGAAUGGAGGUCUCGGCGCAGGGCCUCGGCUGCAUGGGCAUGUCCGCCUUCUACGGCGCGCCCAAGCCCGAGCCCGACAUGGUCGCGCUCAUCCGUCACGCCGUCGCCGCCGGAGUCACCUUUCUCGACACCUCCGACAUGUACGGGCCGCACACCAACGAGAUGCUGCUCGGCAAGGCGUUGCAAGGCGACAUGAGGGAGAAGGUGGAUCUGGCCACCAAGUUCGGCAUCUCGUUCGCAGACAACAAGUGGAACAUCCGGGGGGAUCCAGCGUACGUGCGCGCGGCUUGCGAGGGCAGCCUCAAGCGGCUGGGUGUCGACUGUAUUGAUCUCUACUACCAGCACCGCAUCGACAAAAAUGUGCCCAUCGAGGUCACGAUUGGCGAACUCAAGAAGCUAGUCGAAGAAGGAAAGAUAAAAUACAUCGGACUAUCUGAAGCAUCUGCAUCAACAAUCAGAAGGGCUCAUGCUGUCCAUCCUAUUACUGCAGUUCAGCUGGAGUGGUCAUUAUGGUCUAGAGAUGUGGAAGAAGACAUAAUUCCAACUUGCAGAGAACUUGGAAUCGGAAUCGUACCUUACAGCCCACUUGGUAGAGGAUUUUUCUCUGGUGGAGCAAAACUGAUCGACUCGCUAUCAGAUCAGGACUACCGCAAGCAUAUGCCCAGAUUCCAGCCAGAAAAUCUUGAGAAGAAUACCCUGAUAUUUGAGCGUGUUAACGCAAUGGCAACAAGAAAAGGGUGCACACCAUCACAACUUGCAUUGGCCUGGGUUCAUCAUCAGGGGAGCGAUGUUUGUCCCAUACCUGGCACAACAAAAAUCGAGAAUUUCAACCAGAAUGUGGGAGCACUAUUUGUGAGGCUCACACCAGAGGAGAUGGCUGAACUCGAGUCCUAUGCCACUGCCGGUGAUGUCCAGGGUGAGCGGUACUCUGAAAUGGCGAGUACUUGGAAGUAUUCUGAGACCCCUCCAUUGUCAUCCUUGAAAGCUGCGUAG